GGUGACCGGCUUUCUUUUGGAGCAGGAGACGGUGCCGGAAUGUUUUGAAUGUUAGGAGGAAAGUCCUGACCUUUUGUUCUGAAACAUCCUGAAGCGGAGCGCAUUAAUAGAUAGGCUUAGCCAACUCAUCGCUUAACUCCCAAGAAAACAUUUUCUAAUGCUAGAGCAGCAGGUAUAGUUUAUGCUUAGAAACCAUAUCAUACCCAGUUCCCCUUCUUUUCUCCGGUGCACUCGCUUUAUAUCUCCGAAACAACUAGUAGAUUGAGUUCAAUAUC
This 275-nucleotide long non-coding RNA is filed under the name Panax ginseng (ginseng). RNAcentral's name for it is "long non-coding RNA (PGIN_LNC011106)". Lineage: Eukaryota; Viridiplantae; Streptophyta; Magnoliopsida; Apiales; Araliaceae. The record is from RNAcentral.